Molecule: long non-coding RNA, 518 nt
Organism: Nycticebus coucang (slow loris)
Lineage: Eukaryota; Metazoa; Chordata; Mammalia; Primates; Lorisidae
Exons: 3
Source: RefSeq, a predicted model, not a curated record
CUUUGUGAACAGAUGUGCUCCUAUGCCGUACAUUUCCGUUUAUCUUCCAAUUCAUCAAUCGUCCUUUCUAGCUCGCCUGCUGAUCUCUCAGCAAACCCAGCAGGGAUCUCUGCCUCCUUGAGAGUCUCGUAAAGAAUCGUUAUCUCUUUCUCAUCUUUGUCUUCUUUCUGCGAACACUGUCCGUCAGCAGCGCUCACAGUCUUCAGGUUCUGGUCCCUCAGACUGACCUGCUCAUCCACCUGUCCACAACCCGACUCGGCCCGCUCAGCUCAUUCCUCUGCAAGUUCCAGGUCUCCCUCAAAACUCAUCCAGACACAGUUGAAUUGAAGAUUUGGCUGUGACUCUUCUCAUAGAAGGAUCCAAUGGAAGAUGAAAAUAAAGAAAGGGAAACCUGGAAGGAUGCUUGUGACUGCCAGAAAACUUAAAAGACAUCUCUGUGGCUUCCACUGUGGAGAUAGGCCUGUUAGAGGAUAUGAUGAUGACUUCUGCUGACCUUCUACCUCUAUCCUGCACCAUCU